GGGUAACCUGCGGAGGGAUCAUUACACAAAUAUGAAGGCGGGCUGGAACCUCUCGGGGUUACAGCCUUGCUGAAUUAUUCACCCUUGUCUUUUGCGUACUUCUUGUUUCCUUGGUGGGUUCGCCCACCACUAGGACAAACAUAAACCUUUUGUAAUUGCAAUCAGCGUCAGUAACAAAUUAAUAAUUACAACUUUCAACAACGGAUCUCUUGGUUCUGGCAUCGAUGAAGAACGCAGCGAAAUGCGAUAAGUAGUGUGAAUUGCAGAAUUCAGUGAAUCAUCGAAUCUUUGAACGCACAUUGCGCCCUUUGGUAUUCCAAAGGGCAUGCCUGUUCGAGCGUCAUUUGUACCCUCAAGCUUUGCUUGGUGUUGGGCGUCUUGUCUCUAGCUUUGCUGGAGACUCGCCUUAAAGUAAUUGGCAGCCGGCCUACUGGUUUCGGAGCGCAGCACAAGUCGCACUCUCUAUCAGCAAAGGUCUAGCAUCCACUAAGCCUUUUUCAACUUUGACCUCGGAUCAGUAGGGAACCCAGCUCCU
Molecule: ribosomal RNA, 535 nt
Filed under: fungal sp.
Lineage: Eukaryota; Fungi
Description: eukaryotic LSU rRNA
Rfam family: 5.8S ribosomal RNA (bases 190-343)
Source: RNAcentral